This is a non-coding RNA of Phrynosoma platyrhinos (Desert horned lizard), 71 nucleotides long. NCBI's taxonomy places the organism in Eukaryota, Metazoa, Chordata, Lepidosauria, Squamata, Phrynosomatidae. The record is from the annotation of a GenBank genome assembly.
GACAGCGUGGCAUAGUGGUUUGAGUGUUGGACUGCAACUCUGGAGACCAGGUUUGAUUCCUUGCUUGGCCA